Molecule: non-coding RNA, 711 nt
Organism: Lolium perenne
Lineage: Eukaryota; Viridiplantae; Streptophyta; Magnoliopsida; Poales; Poaceae
Source: RefSeq, a predicted model, not a curated record
CUUGGCCGGCCACCCCCUCCUCCUUUGCUUCUCAUUUUUGACUCUCCACUCCUUCCACCACUCACUCACACUCCUCUCCUACCUCUCCCCCACGAAAUCCUGCUCCACCUAGCUACCAUGGCCGGCCAUGGCCAUGGAAAGGCACCUAGAUGAAGCUCCCCUCCUCCAUCAAGCUCAUCCUCACCAUGAGAGCAUCCCUCUCACUCUCUUCUCCCCUAACCCUAGCUGAAUCCCCCUCUAUUUCUCCUUUCUCCUCUCACAAGAUUGGAUCUUGAUGCAGGUGCAUGUUGGUCCAAGCAUGGAGAAGGUUGAGCAAUCCUCAGAUCUGAAACUCUUGACCCAAAUCCAAAUCGAGUGAUUCAAAGUUCCACAGAUAGGUAUUAAAAAGCUCUACAACUUGGCGUUGGUCUCAUCCUCAAAUUCGUUACGGAUUUUGCAUGAUCAAGAUCUGGUCAGAUCUGACUUUGUCGAAUUAAACCAGGAGCCUGGAAACCAAUUUUUGAAUGAAACCAAUUGGGGGAUAAUUGGUUUAUACCAUGGUGAUAACCGAGAGAGGCAAUUGCUAAAGUUGUGAUGCACUCAUACCUUUACUAGAUGCGAACAAUUCCGGAGAAGAAGAAGAAGUGGAAUCGGACGAGGAUUUUAUUUAUAUAUGUUGUUGGAAUUCUUAUAUUGAUGGAGUUGAAGAAGUACAGGGACAAAUAAGCCAAG